AACAACAUUUAUUAAUACAAUGUGUAAGUUGGGUUUUUAAUGCAAUUUCGCAAUGCCUAUAUAUGAGCCAACCUUACGAAGGGAAAUUAUGCAAAGAGAAACAUGCAUAUCUUUCAACCCACCCCAAAGCACAAUUCUUUCAGGCAUUCUGAGUUAAAUUACCAGGUUGGACUAUACUCUGCAAGGCCUCUAAGUUACUCUUCAAAAUGUUUAAAUGCGGGAUUUAAGUGCAACUACAUGACCUCUGAUAUUUUGAUGAAGCAAUCAGAUGAAAAAGAAUAGGAAUAGCAAUCAAUGAGGAUUAGUGGCGGCAUGAUGAAACACGGAGGCAAUAUGUUUGUAUUUACUACGUAUCUUUCUAUGCGCAGAGCAAGACGCGCAGUUUUUUUUUUUUUCUUCUUCUCCGGAAAUAGCUCCUGUGAAGGUCGAAUGAUGCAACAAGGAAAUUGACGUCUCAGCAAUCGAUGUUUCUGGAGUCGGACAUGCUG
Argiope bruennichi is the source of this 488-nucleotide long non-coding RNA. RefSeq lists it as uncharacterized. The transcript has 3 exons. The record is from RefSeq and is a predicted model, not a curated record. NCBI's taxonomy places the organism in Eukaryota, Metazoa, Arthropoda, Arachnida, Araneae, Araneidae.